UGAUUAUGGCUCAGGAUGAACGCUAGCUACAGGCUUAACACGUGCAAGUCGAGGGGCAGCAUGAACUUAGCUUGCUAAGUUUGAUGGCGACCGGCGCACGGGUGAGUAACACGUAUCCAACCUUCCGUUUACUCAGGGAUAGCCUUUCGAAAGAAAGAUUAAUACCUGAUAGUAUGGUGAGAUUGCAUGAUAGCACCAUUAAAGAUUUAUUGGUAAACGAUGGGGAUGCGUUCCAUUAGGUAGUAGGCGGGGUAACGGCCCACCUAGCCGACGAUGGAUAGGGGUUCUGAGAGGAAGGUCCCCCACAUUGGAACUGAGACACGGUCCAAACUCCUACGGGAGGCAGCAGUGAGGAAUAUUGGUCAAUGGGCGAGAGCCUGAACCAGCCAAGUAGCGUGAAGGAUGAAGGUCCUACGGAUUGUAAACUUCUUUUAUACGGGAAUAAAGUAUCCUACGUGUAGGAUUUUGUAUGUACCGUAUGAAUAAGCAUCGGCUAACUCCGUGCCAGCAGCCGCGGUAAUACGGAGGAUGCGAGCGUUAUCCGGAUUUAUUGGGUUUAAAGGGAGCGCAGACGGGAGAUUAAGUCAGUUGUGAAAGUUUGCGGCUCAACCGUAAAAUUGCAGUUGAUACUGGUUUCCUUGAGUGCAGUUGAGGCAGGCGGAAUUCGUGGUGUAGCGGUGAAAUGCUUAGAUAUCACGAAGAACCCCGAUUGCGAAGGCAGCUUGCUAAACUGUAACUGACGUUCAUGCUCGAAAGUGUGGGUAUCAAACAGGAUUAGAUACCCUGGUAGUCCACACGGUAAACGAUGGAUACUCGCUGUUGGCGAUAUACUGUCAGCGGCCAAGCGAAUGCAUUAAGUAUCCCACCUGGGGAGUACGCCGGCAACGGUGCAACUCAAAUGAAUUGACGG
RNAcentral lists this ribosomal RNA (910 nucleotides) under uncultured Bacteroidota bacterium. RNAcentral describes it as "bacterial SSU rRNA". It matches the Rfam family "Bacterial small subunit ribosomal RNA", at positions 14 to 916 of the family's 1533-position model. The record is from RNAcentral. Lineage: Bacteria; Pseudomonadati; Bacteroidota.